AGCGAACGCUGGCGGCAGGCUUAACACGUGCAAGUCGAGCGGGCACUUUCGGGUGUCAGCGGCGGACGGGUGCGUAACGCGUGGGAACGUUCCCUCUGGUUCGGAAUAACUCAGGGAAACUUGAGCUAAUACCGGAUACGCCCUUUUGGGGAAAGGCUUGCUGCCGGAGGAUCGGCCCGCGUCUGAUUAGCUAGUUGGUGAGGUAACGGCUCACCAAGGCGACGAUCAGUAGCUGGUCUGAGAGGAUGAUCAGCCACACUGGGACUGAGACACGGCCCAGAAUCCUACGGGAAGCAGCAGUGGGGAAUAUUGGACAAUGGGCGCAAGCAUGAUCCAGCCAUGCCGCGUGAGUGAUGAAGGCCUUAGGGUUGUAAAGCUCUUUUAUCCGGGACGAUAAUGACGGUACCGGAGGAAUAAGCCCCGGCUAACUUCGUG
Molecule: ribosomal RNA, 435 nt
Filed under: uncultured bacterium
Lineage: Bacteria
Description: partial 16S ribosomal RNA
Rfam family: Bacterial small subunit ribosomal RNA
Source: RNAcentral